AUGGAGACAGCAACCACCAGCGAGUUGCCAUCAACUAACGAGCUCUGUUCAAAAAGAAAAGGACUGGAAAUUGUUCCAGCUCCCAGUUUUUUCCAAGGAAAAACAUUUGAUGGAAACAAGAACUGCAUUCUAGAAACGGCCCAUCAAAUUAUUGGCAUACCUGAAACGAUCCAUUCGACAUGUGUGAAACAGCACGGCCAUCUGAUCGUGCCAAUGCAGCCUGGUUCACACUUGCCUCUGAACCAACCCCCUCUGAAAACUGAAACCAUGCUUCCAUUCUUACAGAAAGAAACAAGAAACAAUUGA
Molecule: ribosomal RNA, 306 nt
Filed under: Triticum aestivum (bread wheat)
Lineage: Eukaryota; Viridiplantae; Streptophyta; Magnoliopsida; Poales; Poaceae
Description: partial small subunit ribosomal RNA
Source: RNAcentral